RNAcentral lists this ribosomal RNA (300 nucleotides) under uncultured Lactobacillus sp. RNAcentral's name for it is "bacterial SSU rRNA". It matches the Rfam family "Bacterial small subunit ribosomal RNA", at positions 496 to 795 of the family's 1533-position model. The record is from RNAcentral. Lineage: Bacteria; Bacillati; Bacillota; Bacilli; Lactobacillales; Lactobacillaceae.
GCUAGCUCCGGGGUGGGGGCGGGUGUAAUAGGGGGGGUUCUGGCGUUAUGCGGAUUUAGUGGGGUUAAAGGGUGCGUAGGUGGAUUGUUAAGUCAGUGGUGAAAGUUUUCAGCUCAACUGAAAAAUUGCCGUUGAAACUGUCGAUCUUGAGUGCAAAUGAGGUAGGCGGAAUGUGUUGUGUAGCGGUGAAAUGCUUAGAUAUGACAUAGAACACCAAUUGCGAAGGCAGCUGGCUACCCGAAUAUUGACACUGAGGCACGAAAGCGUGGGGAUCAAACAGGAUUAGAUACCCUGGUAGUC